GUGUCAGCAGCCGCGGUAAUACAGAGGGUGCGAGCGUUGUCCGGAAUCACUGGGCGUAAAGGGCGCGUAGGCGGUGGCCUAAGCGUGCGGUGAAAGCCCGGGGCUCAACCCCGGGUCGGCCGUGCGAACUGGGUCACUCGAGCACACUAGAGGCGAGUGGAAUUCCGGGUGUAGCGGUGGAAUGCGUAGAGAUCCGGAAGAACACCAGUGGCGAAGGCGGCUCGCUGGGGUGUAGCUGACGCUGAGGCGCGACAGCGUGGGGAGCAAACAGGAUUAGAUACCCUGGUAGUCCACGCCGUAAACGAUGGGCACUAGGUGCUUGCGGGAGCGACCCCGUGAGUGCCGUCGCUAACGCAUUAAGUGCCCCGCCUGGGGAGUACGGCCGCAAGGCUGAA
Molecule: ribosomal RNA, 395 nt
Filed under: uncultured bacterium
Lineage: Bacteria
Description: bacterial SSU rRNA
Rfam family: Bacterial small subunit ribosomal RNA
Source: RNAcentral